Molecule: long non-coding RNA, 1920 nt
Filed under: Anolis carolinensis (green anole)
Lineage: Eukaryota; Metazoa; Chordata; Lepidosauria; Squamata; Anolidae
Description: lncRNA (ENSACAG00000039429.1)
Source: RNAcentral
AUGGGAUUCCAGACAGGAAACAAUCAGGGCCAGCUAAUACCUCCCAACAAAGGAUUCCCCCAGGUAGGAAGCAGCCAGGCUUUGAAGCUGCAAGGCUAUUCAAUGCUAAUCAAGGUGACCAAUUGCAACAUUCGCACCCUCCCUCCCCCCAAUACAGGUCUCCAGUCCAUACUACGCUACAUGAACUUGAAUGGAUACUGUGGUUGUGUUGUCGAAAGCUUUCAUGGCCGGGAUCACACUGUUGUGGUAUGUAUUCCGGGCUCUAUGGCCAUGUGCCAGAAGCAUUCUCUCCUGACGUUUCACCCACAUCUGUGGCAGACAUAGAGGUUUUGACGUCUGUGCGAAGCUAGGCAAGUGGGGUUUAUAUAUCUGUGGAAGGUCCAGGGUGGGAGAAAGAACUCUUGUCUGUGGGAGGCAAGUGUGAAUGUUGCAAUUGGUCACCUUGAUUAGCAUUGAAUAGCCUUGCAGCUUCAAAGCCUGGCUGCUUCCUACCUGGGGGAAUCCUUUGUUGGGAGGUAUUAGCUGGCCCUGAUUGUUUCCUGUCUGGAAUUCCCAUUUUCUGGGUGUUUCUGGGAAGGUAAUGGCACUCCAUGUAGUCAUGCCGGCCACAUGACCUUGGAGGUGUCUAUGGACAACACUGGCUCUUGGGCUUAGAAAUGGAGAUGAGCACCAACCCCCAGAGUCAGACAUGACUGAACUUAACGUCAAGGGAAACCUUUACCUUUACCUAUACACACACACACACACACACACACACACACAAGCAGGGACUAUAUAUAUAUAUAUACACAAUAUAUAUCACACACACACCAAUUUAACAAAGUUUCAGCCACAAAAACAAAGUUUCUGAAGUAGAACAAUGACUUUCACAGUAAAGACAACCCAAUUUAACAGGAAAUAAGACUUUCAAACCAGGAACAGAUUACUGCAAUUAUUAAAAAAAGGUUUAUUAUAAAAUCUAUGAAAAUUUGCCAAAAAUCAGAGGAUAAGGGAAACGUUCCACAUUUUGGUGAGCUAUCAGUGUUAAAUGUGUUCUACCACUGUACCAAGUUUGAAGAAGAUCACUCAAAAAAUGAGGGCGGGAGAGCCCCCUAAGUCCCCCCCCUUCGGGCUGUUUUUGGGCCACCGCGCAUGCGCGUCCGCCAUUAACGAAUUAAUUUAGAAAAUAACGAAUUUUCGUUAAUUUCUAAAAAUUUUGGGGGCCAAAUUCGUUAUUAGCAACAAAAACGAAAAAACUGCCCCCUCUAGUAUUGAAACGAGUUUAGAAUCAAAUUUUUCAUGGAUCGAUCAAGCCUACUGAGUACACUGCUCUCUUUACCAACAGUACUCAGUCAGCACUGAAAAACUUGUCCAAACUGGUUCUGCAGCAGCAGAACAGAAACAGUAUCAAAUCAAUCCCCAGGUCAUUGCAGGCUCAGCAAAUUGGCUUCAUGCACUUCAUUUUCCAGUUAACACACACAUAACACAGUGCAUUUGCAAACCAUGACACUAAAGACAUUUCAAAACUGCAAUUCUCAUGACUCCAUAGCAUUGGGCUUUGAGAGUUAGAGUGGUGUAAAAUUGCAUUCAUUGACCAUGUAGAUGCAUCUUGAGACUUCCAAUCCCAUAUAUCAGAAACUUAGAUUUCACUCUGACAACAAUGAGACUACAAUACAGCUGUAUCAACCUUCUGUCUCCUAAGUCUCACAAUUUCACAAGUGCUGUUGAUUGAUGAAUGUUUUCUCAGUGGUAUUUAAUUCUGAGAGCUAUUUUGUCCAUGUUAGACCAUCACUGGGACUCAAGGAAAUCGCUGAGCAACAAAGGUAGCAUUUUAAAUAUGGCUUUUAAAUGCAUAUUGCACUGUUGGGUCUCAGGAACCACUUGCCUGUUCAUAUCAAUGAGUCCCAACUUGCCUAACAAACAACUAUUGUACUUGGAUCC